This 770-nucleotide ribosomal RNA is filed under the name Bacillus thuringiensis. RNAcentral's name for it is "bacterial SSU rRNA". It matches the Rfam family "Bacterial small subunit ribosomal RNA", at positions 55 to 803 of the family's 1533-position model. Lineage: Bacteria; Bacillati; Bacillota; Bacilli; Caryophanales; Bacillaceae. The record is from RNAcentral.
AUGCAAGUCGAGCGAAUGGUUGAGAGCUUGCUCUCAAGAAGUUAGCGGCGGACGGGUGAGUAACACGUGGGUAACCUGCCCAUAAGACUGGGAUAACUCCGGGAAACCGGGGCUAAUACCGGAUAACAUUUUGAACUUGCAUGGUUCGAAAUUGAAAGGCGGCUUCGGCUGUCACUUAUGGAUGGACCCGCGUCGCAUUAGCUAGUUGGUGAGGUAACGGCUCACCAAGGCAACGAUGCGUAGCCGACCUGAGAGGGUGAUCGGCCACACUGGGACUGAGACACGGCCCAGACUCCUACGGGAGGCAGCAGUAGGGAAUCUUCCGCAAUGGACGAAAGUCUGACGGAGCAACGCCGCGUGAGUGAUGAAGGCUUUCGGGUCGUAAAACUCUGUUGUUAGGGAAGAACAAGUGCUAGUUGAAUAAGCUGGCACCUUGACGGUACCUAACCAGAAAGCCACGGCUAACUACGUGCCAGCAGCCGCGGUAAUACGUAGGUGGCAAGCGUUAUCCGGAAUUAUUGGGCGUAAAGCGCGCGCAGGUGGUUUCUUAAGUCUGAUGUGAAAGCCCACGGCUCAACCGUGGAGGGUCAUUGGAAACUGGGAGACUUUGAGUGCAGAAGAGGAAAGUGGAAUUCCAUGUGUAGCGGUGAAAUGCGUAGAGAUAUGGAGGAACACCAGUGGCGAAGGCGACUUUUUGGUCUGUAACUGACACUGAGGCGCGAAAGCGUGGGGGAGCAAACAGGAUUAGAUACCCUGGUAGUCCACCCCCU